This 1007-nucleotide long non-coding RNA is filed under the name Bos indicus x Bos taurus (hybrid cattle). Its description in RNAcentral is "lncRNA (ENSBIXG00000030211.1)". The record is from RNAcentral. Lineage: Eukaryota; Metazoa; Chordata; Mammalia; Artiodactyla; Bovidae.
CCACUCUCCAACCAGAGCCAGUCAGAGAACCCCACCUUUAUCUGUUGGAUUGUCCCUCAGCAGAAUGAUGAUCUCUGAAUAUUUACCGUGUUUACAGGCUUCCCUGGAUUCCUGUGAUUGCAGAGAAGAAAACAGAGUGAGUGUCCCAGCUUCUUGAAUUUUCUGCACUAAGUCUUCUGUUACCUGUUUUUUUGUCCUCAGGUAACUAGCACUCUUCAUUUCAGUGGCUCCAAAAUAAAAAAGUCUCCUGUUGGAAAGACUGGUCUGUUUCACAUAAGAUCUCUCAGUUUUAAUUUGACCAAUGUUUACAAAUUGUUUUUCAAGAAAGAACACUUUCUGCUGAGCAAAGUUCUACCGUAAUAAAUGAUGCUGUCUUAUUGAAAUGUCCUUUUGAAUCAGGACUGUGUUAAUAAUAGAUUUAUCCCCUCUACUUUCCCAGCCAAGGAUUCCCAUGCCUCAGUGGUAAUGUAUAUUGUCAGAUUACUAUACGUGUAUUCGACUAAAAGGAAAAUAAAGCAGUGAAGCCGCAGCCUUGCCCCGGUUAACAAAGGUGCACUUACGUCCACAGUCCUCAGAGCCUUGUCUUCAGCCCUGUCCUGGGGCAGUUCCACCACCAUGUCCUCUUGAGGAACUGGAGGGACACAGAACAGCACAGGGACACAGAAAACCAAAUGGGAAUGUGCUGUUCAGUCUGUAGCCCCAAAAGAACAAUAGAGGACACCUGUGGGAAAGGCUGGCACUCCUUCUGGAAGAGCACUCCAGCUCAUUUUCACCAGUAAUUAAAACUUUCUUUUCAGGAAGGAACAGUUUCUGCUGAGGAAACUGCUCCCGAUUCCAGUUUUUAAUUUAUGUUGUCAUUUUUGAAAAACAUCCUUUUGAAUAAGAUAUCUGCUGGGAGAAAUUCAUCCAUCAAAUUAAAAACUGUUUCUAUGAACUGUCUGGAAUAAUUUGAACCUUUAUCUGAAUUCAGCUAGAAAAUAAAAUUAUGAAGCAACACUUUUAUCUCA